Molecule: ribosomal RNA, 319 nt
Filed under: uncultured bacterium
Lineage: Bacteria
Description: bacterial SSU rRNA
Rfam family: Bacterial small subunit ribosomal RNA
Source: RNAcentral
GACGAACGCUGGCGGCGUGCCUAACACAUGCAAGUCGUGCGAGAAAGCUCCUUCGGGAGUGAGUACAGCGGCGGACGGGUAAGUAACACGUGAGCGAUCUACCCAAGGGUGGGGGACAACUCAGGGAAACCUGAGCUAAUACCGCGUAUAGCGCCGGCUUGGAAGCCUGGCGUGAAAGCUGGCCUCUACUUGUAAGCUAGCGCCUUUGGAUGAGCUCGCGGCCUAUCAGCUUGUUGGUGGGGUAAUGGCCUACCAAGGCAAUGACGGGUAGCUGGCGUGAGAGCGCGACCAGCCACACUGGGACUGAGACACGGCCCAG